Mustela erminea (ermine) is the source of this 224-nucleotide long non-coding RNA. RefSeq lists it as uncharacterized. The transcript is spliced from 3 exons. NCBI's taxonomy places the organism in Eukaryota, Metazoa, Chordata, Mammalia, Carnivora, Mustelidae. The record is from RefSeq and is a predicted model, not a curated record.
GUUGGCAACUCUACCCUACUCGAGCACAGAAGGACGACACUGCCCGGCCCUCUGGUGAGACCAUGUGACUAGUCCUGGCCAAUGGGCUGUGAGAGUGAGGAAGUCACUCCUGGGCCAAGGGUCUCAGAACUACAAGGGGAUCUAUAAGCCUGCCAGGUCACUCUUUCUGCUUUGAACAUAGUGGUUACAGGACUGCGUUUAAUGAACACAUAGAAGAAAGAAGA